Molecule: ribosomal RNA, 254 nt
Filed under: uncultured bacterium
Lineage: Bacteria
Description: partial 16S ribosomal RNA
Rfam family: Bacterial small subunit ribosomal RNA
Source: RNAcentral
UACGGGGGGGGGCAAGCGUUGUUCGGAAUUACUGGGCGUAAAGGGCUCGUAGGCGGCCAACUAAGUCGGAUGUGAAAUCCCCAGGCUUAACCUGGGAACUGCAUCCGAUACUGGAUGGCUUGAAUCCGGGAGAGGGAUGCAGAAUUCCAGGUGUAGCGGUGAAAUGCGUAGAUAUCUGGAGGAACACCGGUGGCGAAGGCGGCAUCCUGGACCGGCAUUGACGCUGAGGAGCGAAAGCCAGGGGAGCAAACGGG